RNAcentral lists this ribosomal RNA (497 nucleotides) under uncultured bacterium. Its description in RNAcentral is "partial 16S ribosomal RNA". It matches the Rfam family "Bacterial small subunit ribosomal RNA", at positions 28 to 507 of the family's 1533-position model. The record is from RNAcentral.
GAUGAACGCUGGCGGCGUGCCUAAUACAUGCAAGUCGAGCGAACAGACGAGGAGCUUGCUCCUCUGACGUUAGCGGCGGACGGGUGAGUAACACGUGGAUAACCUACCUAUAAGACUGGGAUAACUUCGGGAAACCGGAGCUAAUACCGGAUAAUAUAUUGAACCGCAUGGUUCAAUAGUGAAAGACGGUUUUGCUGUCACUUAUAGAUGGAUCCGCGCCGCAUUAGCUAGUUGGUAGGGUAACGGCUUACCAAGGCAACGAUGCGUAGCCGACCUGAGAGGGUGAUCGGCCACACUGGAACUGAGACACGGUCCAGACUCCUACGGGAGGCAGCAGUAGGGAAUCUUCCGCAAUGGGCGAAAGCCUGACGGAGCAACGCCGCGUGAGUGAUGAAGGUCUUCGGAUCGUAAAACUCUGUUAUUAGGGAAGAACAAAUGUGUAAGUAACUUUGCACGUCUUGACGGUACCUAAUCAGAAAGCCACGGCUAACUACGUG